GAUGAACGCUGGCGGCGUGCCUAAUACAUGCAAGUCGAGCGAACAGACGAGGAGCUUGCUCCUCUGACGUUAGCGGCGGACGGGUGAGUAACACGUGGAUACCCUACCUAUAAGACUGGGAUAACUUCGGGAAACCGGAGCUAAUACCGGAUAAUAUAUUGAACCGCAUGGUUCAAUAGUGAAAGACGGUUUUGCUGUCACUUAUAGAUGGAUCCGCGCCGCAUUAGCUAGUUGGUAAGGUAACGGCUUACCAAGGCAUCGAUGCGUAGCCGACCUGAGAGGGUGAUCGGCCACACUGGAACUGAGACACGGUCCAGACUCCUACGGGAGGCAGCAGUAGGGAAUCUUCCGCAAUGGGCGAAAGCUUGACGGAGCAACGCCGCGUGAGUGAUGAAGGUCUUCGGAUCGUAAAGCUCUGUUAUUAGGGAAGAAAAAAUGUGUAAGUAUCUAUGCACGUCUUGACGGUACCUAAUCAGAAAGCCACGGCUAACUACGUG
RNAcentral lists this ribosomal RNA (497 nucleotides) under uncultured bacterium. RNAcentral's name for it is "partial 16S ribosomal RNA". It matches the Rfam family "Bacterial small subunit ribosomal RNA", at positions 28 to 507 of the family's 1533-position model. The record is from RNAcentral.